UACGUAGGGUGCAAGCGUUAAUCGGAAUUACUGGGCGUAAAGCGUGCGCAGGCGGCUUUGCAAGACAGAUGUGAAAGCCCCGGGCUCAACCUGGGAAUGGCAUUGGAAACUGGCGGGCUGGAGUGUGGCAGAGGGGGGUGGAAUUCCGCGUGUAGCAGUGAAAUGCGUAGAGAUGCGGAGGAACACCGAUGGCGAAGGCAGCCCCCUGGGCUGACACUGACGCUCAGGCACGAAAGCGUGGGGAGCAAACAGG
Molecule: ribosomal RNA, 253 nt
Filed under: uncultured bacterium
Lineage: Bacteria
Description: partial 16S ribosomal RNA
Rfam family: Bacterial small subunit ribosomal RNA
Source: RNAcentral